This is a long non-coding RNA of Brachypodium distachyon (stiff brome), 553 nucleotides long. RefSeq lists it as uncharacterized. The record is from RefSeq and is a predicted model, not a curated record. NCBI's taxonomy places the organism in Eukaryota, Viridiplantae, Streptophyta, Magnoliopsida, Poales, Poaceae. The transcript is spliced from 2 exons.
AUCCGGCAGCAAAAGUGCCGGAUCCGGUGGCGGGAAAGCUCAAUCCGGUGGCGAGGACUCCCGGCACGCGCUGCUGUCCCCGGUGCGGAGCAUGGAGGUUCUCUACUGUACCGCCGCCGGCGAGGGUUAGCUUACCACAGAAGAAAUGCCUCCGCCUCCGCCCUGCUGCGGCCACAUGAGAUCCCUGCAACUGCCGCCCAAGACUCUCAUCGCCUGCCAUGACCGCCCCCAAAGAGGACCUGCUCUGCUCCCGCCGGCGACGAUGACUUGGCGGUCGACCGACGACGAGAUUUCUGCGUUAAUAUUAACGAUGGAGGGUGCAAUCAGCAGAAAUGCGUGGCCAUUUGCGCUGCGUCCGGCUACGACAAGAACAAGGCGUUCUGCCAAAACGAAACCAACAAAUGCUGCUGUCCGACGGGCGCACGGUCGUGAUUCAUCGUCGCCUAUAUACUGCAUGCAUAUAUGCAUGGCGAAAUAAUUAGAAACCGGCCUCUCGGGCCGUUUGUACUUCACCUGGUUCGUUUUUUAAUAAAUAUCGGAAGACUUUGGGUGA